This 406-nucleotide ribosomal RNA is filed under the name uncultured Pseudomonas sp. RNAcentral's name for it is "bacterial SSU rRNA". It matches the Rfam family "Bacterial small subunit ribosomal RNA", at positions 979 to 1382 of the family's 1533-position model. The record is from RNAcentral. Lineage: Bacteria; Pseudomonadati; Pseudomonadota; Gammaproteobacteria; Pseudomonadales; Pseudomonadaceae.
CCUUGACAUGCAGAGAACUUUCCAGAGAUGGAUUGGUGGCCUUCGGGAACGUCUGACACAGGUGCUGCAUGGCUGUCGUCAGCUCGUGUCGCGAGAUGUUGGGUUAAGUCCGUAACGAGCGCAACCCUUGUCCUUAGUUACCAGCACGUUAUGGUGGGCACUCUAAGGAGACUGCCGGUGACAAACCGGAGGAAGGUGGGGAUGACGUCAAGUCAUCAUGGCCCUUACGGCCUGGGCUACACACGUGCUACAAUGGUCGGUACAAAGGGUUGCCAAGCCGCGAGGUGGAGCUAAUCCCAUAAAACCGAUCGUAGUCCGGAUCGGAGUCUGCAACCCGACUCCGUGAAGCUGGAUUCGCUAGUAAUCGCGCAUCAGCCACGGCGCGGUGAAUACGUUCCCGGGCCUU